GGGGAUUUAGCUCAGUGGUAGAGCGCUUGCCUAGCAAGCGCAUGGUCCUGGGCCUGAUCCCCA
Molecule: transfer RNA, 63 nt
Filed under: Rattus norvegicus (Norway rat)
Lineage: Eukaryota; Metazoa; Chordata; Mammalia; Rodentia; Muridae
Rfam family: tRNA
About the family: Transfer RNA (tRNA) molecules are approximately 80 nucleotides in length. Their secondary structure includes four short double-helical elements and three loops (D, anti-codon, and T loops).
Source: Rfam by way of RNAcentral